Molecule: unclassified non-coding RNA, 366 nt
Filed under: uncultured bacterium
Lineage: Bacteria
Description: contains 16S-23S intergenic spacer region
Source: RNAcentral
UCUCCCGUGAGGGAGCAGUCUCGCCUGGCCAUAUAGGCAACAGACAACGGGGGUUGCGUUCGUUACCCCACUGAAGGGAACAGUUCAAACCACGAACUGACGACGACCAUGCAUCACCUGUGCUACACCCUCGAAGGCUCCCGAACUUUCGUCUGGGAUGCAGUAGCAUUUCUAACCUUGGUAAGGUUCUUCGUUUAUCAUCGAAUUAAGCCACAUAAUCCACUGCUUGUGCGAGUCCCCGUCUAUUCCUUUGAGUUUUAAUCUUGCGAUCGUACUACCCAGGCGGCUCGCUUACCGCGUUAGCUUAGUCUCACAGAGGGUCGAUACUCCGUAAAACGAGCGAGCAACGUUGAGGGCCAGGACUAC